CAGCAGCCGCGGUAAUACGAAGGGGGCUAGCGUUGCUCGGAAUGACUGGGCGUAAAGGGCGCGUAGGCGGAUGGCACAGUCAGAUGUGAAAUUCCCGGGCUUAACCUGGGGGCUGCAUUUGAUACGUGUUGUCUAGAGUGAGGAAGAGGGUCGUGGAAUUCCCAGUGUAGAGGUGAAAUUCGUAGAUAUUGGGAAGAACACCGGUGGCGAAGGCGGCGACCUGGUCCUUUACUGACGCUGAGGCGCGAAAGCGUGGGGAGCAAACAGGAUUAGAUACCCGCGUAGUCCCUGUCUCUUAUAC
RNAcentral lists this ribosomal RNA (301 nucleotides) under uncultured bacterium. RNAcentral's name for it is "partial 16S ribosomal RNA". It matches the Rfam family "Bacterial small subunit ribosomal RNA", at positions 509 to 807 of the family's 1533-position model. The record is from RNAcentral.